UGUGAAAAGGAAACCAUGGUGUCUACCAAUUAAAGCAAAGCAACAAUAUAAUCCUAAAGUCUUAGAAUAACUAACAAUGUAUUUAAAUAAAAGACCACUGGUUGGCAUGCACACAAUGAUGAAAGACACUUCUUGCCUACUGAGAUAUUGAACAGGAUAACAGGUGGAAACAAAAACACUUUGCCCCUUUUGAAUUUGACCAGCAACCAUCAACGACGAGGCAUGCGGGACUUGUCCCAUGAAGCAGGACCAGGGCCAUACAA
RNAcentral lists this unclassified non-coding RNA (263 nucleotides) under Hevea brasiliensis (rubber tree). Lineage: Eukaryota; Viridiplantae; Streptophyta; Magnoliopsida; Malpighiales; Euphorbiaceae. The record is from RNAcentral.